Non-coding RNA from Chrysemys picta bellii (western painted turtle), 566 nucleotides. The record is from RefSeq and is a predicted model, not a curated record. NCBI's taxonomy places the organism in Eukaryota, Metazoa, Chordata, Testudines, Emydidae.
GUCAUACUUUCAGGUGGAAGAAAUGUAACUGAUGAAAUCUUCAUCUCUAAAGAGCACAAGAAGUUGCUUUACUGAAUAAAGCAAGAAAAAUGGGAGCUACUGGUUCAGAUGUGAAAUGAAGAUCUUCCAAUUAAAGGGAGGGUGAUAAGAGGCUGCUGAAUUUAAGAAACAAAGUCAGCCAGGUUUUUCUAAUAUGAGAUAUGAACAGACCAGGUGGUCAUUCCUACCAGGGAGAAGUGAGGGUAAGUGGUUGUCCCGGACAAGGAGGUAAGAAAUACCAGUCUCCAAACAUCCAUGUGUAGAUCAAGUGGUGUGGAUUUGCCUUUCUGGGAGAAGAACUGUGGUGGACUUUACUUGUCAUGGGGAGAGUAUGAAAAGCAGACGCAAGACAAAGCAACAUGGACUUGCCACUUGUUCAAUCCAGGAAUUAGCUGAUCCAUCCUUUUAAGGAGGUAAGAAAUGCAAUACGCCAUUCCCAUAAUAGUAAAUGAUUCUGCUCAUACUUUCAGGUGGAGGAAAUGUAACUGAUGAAAUCUUCAUCUCUAAAGAGCACAAGAAGUUGCUUU